GUGGGGAAUUUUGGACAAUGGGGGAAACCCUGACGCAGCGACGCCGUGUGAGGGAAGAAGGCUUUCGGGUCGUAAACCUCUGUCAGGAAGGAAGAACCUCUCAAGGCUGAACAAGCCUUGGGACUGACGGUACUUCCAGAGGAAGCACCGGCUAACUCCGUGCCAGCAGCCGCGGUAAUACGGAGGGUGCAAGCGUUGUUCGGAAUCACUGGGCGUAAAGGGCGCGCAGGCGGCCUGAUCAGUCAGAUGUGAAAGCCCACGGCUUAACUGUGGAAGUGCAUUUGAAACUGUCAGGCUUGAGUACCAGAGGGGAAAGUGGAAUUCCCGGUGUAGAGGUGAAAUUCGUAGAUAUCGGGAGGAAUACCGGUGGCGAAGGCGACUUUCUGGCUGGAUACUGACGCUGAGGCGCGAAAGCGUGGGGAGCAAACAGGAUUAGAAACCCGAGUAGUCC
Molecule: ribosomal RNA, 451 nt
Filed under: uncultured bacterium
Lineage: Bacteria
Description: partial 16S ribosomal RNA
Rfam family: Bacterial small subunit ribosomal RNA
Source: RNAcentral